AGAGAAAAGAAUUUUUAAGCCAUAUGACUUGGAUCCAUGUUACCUUCAGUAUAGUACAAUGCAAGGCAUUUGGAUGGUUUACUAUAAAGAAACCCAAGAUCCAGUCCUCUGAGCUUUACACAUAAAACUACCAGACAAAGCAAAGUGUACUGAACCAUAAGAGUGGAAAAUGUACUUUGGGAAAAUGGCCAACUGGGGAAGGUUUCUUGAAGGGACAGAACAUUUAUACUAGAGUCUUGAUUGGGUAGUAUCAAAUGGGUAAGGGAGGCUUACAAAUAAUGCAUGUGCUGCUGAGGAUAGCAUAAGCCAAAGGAGAAGGACAGGCACUGCAGGAAUGGCCAGGCCAGAGCAUUGGUUAAAGGUAUCAGGAACCGGACUAGAUGUAGAGUACCAUGAUGUGUCUGGAACUAUAUUUGUAAUACAGCUUAGGUAUCCUUGUCUAGUCUAAAAAUAGAUGCUACUGUUAAAAGGGAUGGGUCCUAGAGUGCCAAGGCUUGGCACUUGCAAUCUUAAGAGACCAUCCAGUCCAGUAGUUUUUCCAAGUUAUUUAAUAGUGAAGGGCUUUAGUAUAUAAACAAAAUAUUGGUUGAAUGAAGAACCUACCUACUGAGCUUUCUUGUCAUUCCCAUCCCACCCCAACCAACAAAGAAUGUUUGAAAAACUGAUCCAAUCCUAAUUUUACAGGUUAAACUAAAUUUAGGCCCAGUGUGGUUAAAUUAUUUUCUAAGAGUCAUAACAAGUUAGAAGCAAUUUUGAAACCAGAGAUUCCUAAAUCCAGGUCACUGGUUAGAAGUAGUUUCAGGUACUACUAAAAAGGUAAAGUAUGAUAGUGACAUGCAGUCUUAUUUCUGAGAAGUCAAAGCUGAGUCUUUAACGAAUCAGUCGUCUUAAAUGUUGUUUUGAUAAUGGUCUGAGCAGAGAAUGGCAGGAUAUGGAACAUGCCGCCAAUAAACAAAACCUCAGAGAUGGGAAGGACACAGGAACAAUCACAGAGCAGCAACCGAAUUCUCAUUUCCAAGUAGUCGCCUUUUAAGGAUAAGAACCCACAGAAGUUAAGAGUCAGGCAAAAUUGGGAGGGAAAGAGUAAGAAAGCCAAGUAUUGGAUGUGUGUGAUCUAACCAAGGACAAAUCACAACUCUCCAGACCAAGGCCACUGCAACUGAAAGGUUACAGAACAAAAGAUACUGGACUCCAGCCACACCCUAACUCCAGAGGACUCAGAAGAGAUCUUACCACGACCUCAGCUAGAGAAGCCUACACAGCACACAGGAGCCUGAACUUAGGACCACUUUGUUAGGAAAGGGACCCAGGGACAAGUCACCACUCACUUUAACUUCUUCCCACAUGGGACAACAUAAAAUGUGUAGAGAGACAAAAUCCAUGGGAGCCCCACUAUUUUUGAGAAGCAAGAAUAUCUGCUGCUCUCUGAGCGCCAGGGAUUUCCAAAAUGAAGCACUGCAUACCUCAUAACAGCUCCCACCAAUAGAAGUCAAGCCAAUAUAUCACUAAUUGCCAAAUGACACACAGCAAGUUGCCUACCAGGAUCAAAGUAGGAGAAAAAUAAUGGUAAAAGGAUAUUAACUAUGCCAAGCACAUUCACCAAUCCUCUCUUUAAAAAUUCUAGGAUGAAAUGGUAAUAUGACUGUUUCACAGGUAGCAAAACAGGCUCAGGGAAACUGAGAACUUUCCCAAGAUCUCAAUACCAUUAAGUGAUAAAGACAAGAUUCAGUGCCAGGCCUCCUUUCCCUAUUUAUGCUUCUCACCCAAAGAACAACCUAGAGUGCUAGUGCUGGUCUAGACAAAGAUGUCAAGUGGCAGAUGACACCUCAAAAAGCCUAUUAGCAAAGUACUACACUGUGCUUACCUUUCAAGAAUGAUUUCCUCAUGGGUGACUUUGUUCCACAUUUUUGGAUUUCUCCAUAUAACUGAUUUUAAUCAUCCUGAUGAAAAUAUAUCUAAACUUUAAUGAAUACUUUCCUGCCUACCUUUUAGAUAGUCACUGAACAGAAUUCCAACAGAUUUUCAUGAAUAUCAGUUAUUGUUAUAAUGUAGUGGUCCCCUCUGGGAUUCCCAAGAUGGGAUGAACUAUUUCGGACAUGGCAGAAGUGUUUCUCAGAAUAUUUUCUUUCUCCAAGCCAAGGCCUUCUAUCAACCAUGAAUUCAGGUAUGCAGAGUUAACUUCAGAAGCCCUCCUACUUCUAAUGCUCUCUGUUUUAAACUUGCUACUCAAAGUGUAGUCUAUGAACCAGCACAUCGGCCUCACCUGAGAGAACUGCAAGAAAUGCAGAAUCUUAGGCCUCACUGAGACCAACUGAAUCAGAAUCUGCGUUUUAACAGGAUCUGGUAAUUUAUGUGCACAUUUAAAAUGGAGAGGCUGUGCUCUAAAGUUUAGUCUAAAAUAAGCCAUUUUUAAAUAUUAAGUUCAAAUCACAGGGUACAGCUCCUUCCCUGGGCCUAGAGAUUAUUUUUCAGGGUUUUAGCAGCUCUUCUAGCUCCCAAUCUCCAAAGAGGAUAAUAGAGAAUAAUUAAAUAGCUAGUUAAUUAACACUUCAAAGGACAGUUUGGGGAAUAAUAUGCUCCAAAUUGGAGCUAGAGUACAUGGAGAAAAGUGAGUAAUACAUUUAAACUUUGCUGUUUAUGGAGUAAAUUGAAACUCAUUAUUUCUACUUCUACAGCUAGUCUCUAUUAACUCAAUUAUUUCUCACAGAAACUAGCUCUGUCUCCUCCCCAGUUUUAUUUUCACUCUAGUUCUACCUACCAUAACUUGUCUCUCCUACCAGAAUUUUAAACCUUGUACUGUGGCUUAUUUUCACUCCACAAGGAAGCUUGACAGGACAAAGGAUGGCAAUUAGCCUGGAUCCUUGCCUGCUGAGAGGACAGGAUACAGAUUUAGGAUUUCCUUCCCAGAGACAAAAUAUUCUGCAACAGGUUUAGAGAUAGUCUGAAUUCAUAUAUACAUGAACAUAAAGACAGACGUUGUGUGCAUACAUACAUGUAUAUAUAUAGUUGAGAUUUCACCUAUAUCAUCUUGUAAGUCAUAUAUUUAUGCAUUUAAACAUUAUCUACUAUAAUUCAGAUGCAAAUACAAAAGUGAAUAAAAACAUCUCUACCUUCCAGAAGUUUACACUAUCCAGAGUUCAGGAGGGCACUAAGAAGACAGAAAGUGAGCUAUCUUGGACAGUCAAGGAGAGACUACCAGAGAAGUCAAAACCCUGAGGAAGACUAGCAGAUGAAAAGGAAAGGAAAGAUGGUUCAUGAAAGGAAUUCCACAAAGACCCAUGGGAGAACAAAAGCAUUGCUGUUACAAAAAAUCAAUGGGACAAAUGGAGAUUGUUGACCAAGUUUCAUGAGAGCUGAGAGGAAAAGAGCUGGAAUGCAAUGCACAGUGAAGAGCCUGGGCCUGACGGAUUCAUGUCUUUGUCUUCCUUUAGAAUGAGGAAGGAGAAAAAGAUGGAGAUAUAUGCAACUGGUUUGUAUCUGGAAUGGUGGAAAGCAAGUAAGGAGUGUUAUCUCUAUUUACCAAUGGGUAACUAGGUUCCAGAAGACUGACUUGCCAAAGGUCACACGGCUAGGUAAUGGCAAAAAAUCUCCUAUCCAAUGCUGUUCACAAAAGACAAGUGUAAUGAACAGUUCAAAAGGUCUAACAGUCCUAAAACUAAUAAAUACAGACCUUAACACGGUCUAGAAACCAAGGUUCUCAUCUCAUUCUGCCACUAGCUAGCUUCGUAACCUCAAAAGGAUUCCUUAACCCAUUUGACUCUAUCAAAUGAGAAGACUGGGCUAAAUGAUACCUGGUCCCUUUCAGUUCUUACACUUUAUGGUUCUGAAUCACCAGACUGCACUUGGGCCAGAGAAGGACUAAUCCCCUAGUGAUUAAAAGCCAGAGAACCCCUAUACUUGCCUGGUCAGUCAUUAGCCAGCAUCUGCUAGAGAAACUAAAACUCAAAUGAUCAGGUGGUAACAAUGGCCCUGGGAGGAAACUGGCAAUAACAUCCCAAAUAACCAAAAGCUAGCUCUGCCCUCAGCUCCUCAGCUCCCUGGAAAUAUCCUGGUUCUAAACAGUUUGGAAUGCUUACAAGCGACAUUGUAUUCAGCCUUCCAUUUCCAUGGCAAUGUUUUGCCUACUUCCAAAAUGAAUUUCAAGGGCAUGUGCUACUAUAAUAAAACCCUAACCUAACUAACCAACAAUAAAAAGACCAAGACAAAAUUUCGAAAAGGCUUUGGGGAAUGGUGGAAUGGGGGGGAAAAAAAGCUAAAGAAUCUACAAAGGCCAGGCAUGGUGGCUCACACCUGUAAUCCCAGCACUUUGGGAGGCCAAGGCGGGCGGAUCACGAGGUCAGGAGUUCGAGACCAUCCUGGCUAACACGGUGAAACCCCGUCUCUACUAAAAAUACAAAAAAAUUAGCCGGGCGUGGUGGCGGGCGCCUGUAGUCCCAGCUACUCGGGAGGCUGAGGCAGGAGAAUGGCGUGAACCUGGGAGGCGGAGCUUGCAGUGAGCCGAGAUUGCGCCACUGCACUCCCACCUGGGCCACAGAGCGAGACUCCGUCUCAAAAAAAAAAAAAGAAAAGCAAAAGCCUGGAUGGACAAUGCCAUGAAGACAUUCCCUACUACAUUCUUGAGGGAGAAGGCAGGGUAGAGGGUGGAGGAAGAUUGAGAACUCCAUUUUUGGUGUUACUUCUAAACUUUCUAUGUGAUUCUACAAAAGUCUUUCUCCUCAGACAGCAUCGCAGGGAGUCCUAUAGACCCACAUCCCUUACCAGGUGCUCAAUCCGAUUUCCAGGUUAGACCUCACACCUUCAAGUGUCCUCCUCUGUCAGACAUCCUACCCCUGGGAAGCUGUUCCACAUGAGCAAACUGCAUCCUAACAGAGCUCAUGCCCCUGUGUACUCAGCCAGAGCUCAUGAGACUUAUUUACCACCACGAGAACAGUAUGGGGGAAACCAACCCCAUGAUUCAAUCAUCUCCCACCGGGUCCCUCCCACAACACAUGGGAAUUAUGGGAGCUACAAUUCAGGAGGAGAUUUGGGUAGAGACACAGCCAAACCAUAUAAUUUCAUCCCUGGCCCCUCCCAAAUCUCAUGUCCUCACAUUUCAAAACCAAUCAUGCCUUUGCAGCAGUCCCUAAAGUCUUAACUUAUUUCAGCAUUAACUCAAAAGUCCACAGUCUGAAGUCUCAUCUGAGACAAGUCCACCUAUGAGUCUGUAAAAUCAAAAGCAAGUUAGUUACUUCCUAGAUACAAUGGGAGUAUAGGCAUUGGGUAAAUACACACAUUCCAAAAUCAGAAAAACUGGCCAAAACAAAGGGGCUACAGGCCCCAUGCAAAUCCAAAAACCAGCAGGGCAGUCAAUUUUUAAAGCUCCAAUGUCUCAUAUCCAGGUCAUGCUGAUGCAAGAGGUAGGUUCCCAUGGUUUUGGGCGGCUCUGCCCCUGUGCUUUUCAGGGUACAAUUCUGAUACUUUCUUUGAAAACCCAGCUCCAGGUCACCCCCAAACCUCCAACCACUUCUAGAUACCAGCAAUAGGCCUUGCUCUGAAGUCUUUAAGCUAUCCUAACUACAAAUGUCAGUUUACUCCUCUGUCUCUUCCUCUACCUUGGAAGGUCUGGGAAGGUAAGGACCAUGUCUUCCUUGUUCACUGUUGAAUUUUGGGCCACCGUAUAUGGCUAUAUAGCUGAAGUUCAGCCCAAUGUUGCACUUUCCAAGUUUUGCAGCCUGGCAUCAGCCUGCAUCUACCCAGAGGCAACAGCACAUUUUUCUAAUUCAGACAAAGCCAAGCCACAUGUUUUUGAGGGCUCCCACUACCCAGGGUGUAAAUACUCUAACGAUUGUACAAAGGUGCCACCGUAUGGCUGGGUGAUGGCCCUGGCCAUAUCCCUCUGCCAACCACGAUGGCUAGCAGGAGAGAUAAUCAAUAUUAGUUGAAAUAACACACUAACUGGGCUUACUACAAACUCAUGUUUUCUAUCCUCACCUGGGCCUUCACUGUAUUUCCAUGGCCUCUUAUUUUGGGUGGACUGCCCCUGCUUCUCUCUGGGAAGUGGUUUGAAGCUCCAGCUUUCCUCAGGUUCCCAGUCCUACCCUUGAAGCCUUUACAUCCAUUCUCACACUACUAGAAAGAACUACCUGAGACUGGGUAAUUUAUAAAGAAAAGAGGUUUAACUGAAUAACAGUUCCACAUGGCUGGGGAGACCUCAGGAAACUUACAAUCAUGGUGGAAUGUGAAGGGGAAGCAAGCUACAUAUUACAUGGCAGCAUGAGGGGGUGGGAAAGGGUGGGAAUGAGGGAGACUGGGGAGAAGAGGUUGAGAGGGGGGAAGAAGAGGGGAAGAGAGAGAGGUGGGAGAGAGACAAAGACAUAGUGAAUGAGAGAGCGAGAGUGAAAGAGAGUGAGACAGAGAUUGAGACAGUGAGACAGACAGAGUGAGACAGAGAGUGAGAUAGUGAGAGAGAGAGAGAGAGAGUGAGAAAGACAGUGAGAGAGAGAGUGAGAGAGAAAGUGAGAGACAAUGAGAGAGACAAUGAGAGAGAGACAGUGAGAGAGACAGUGAGACAGUGAGAGAGAGAGAGACAGAGAGAGAGACUGAGAUAGAGAGCGAGAGAGACAGUGAGAGACAGAGCGAGAGAGAGCGAGAGCGAGACACAGCGAGAGAGCGAGACACAGUGAGAGCGAGACACAGUGAGAGCGAGACACAGUGAGAGCGAGACACAGAGCGAGACAGUGAGAGCGAGACAGAGCGAGACAGUGAGAGCGAGACAGAGCGAGAGACAGUGAGAGAGCGAGAGACAGUGAGAGAGAGACAGUGAGAGCGAGAGAGAGAGAGAGCAAGAGACAGUGAGAGCGUGAGAGACAGUGAGAGAGUGAGAGACAGAGAGAGAGGACAGUGAGAGAGAAACAGGAGGGGGACAGAGAGACAGAGGAGGG
This 6920-nucleotide long non-coding RNA is filed under the name Homo sapiens (human). RNAcentral describes it as "HSALNT0341850". The record is from RNAcentral. Lineage: Eukaryota; Metazoa; Chordata; Mammalia; Primates; Hominidae.